GAGGGAGGACUUCCAGCGCACGAGAAAACGCGAGAGAGAGAGAGAGAGAGAGUCCUAAUCCCUUCUCUCGGUGUUACUGCGAUCGCUUCGAUCACGAGGCUUCCCGCUGUCCGCCCUCUGGGAGAUUCAAGCUCCAGGUGAAGGUUUAACAGCAUACUAAGCAAUUGAUUUGGGCACCUCUUACUGGUGCAAACCAUCACCAGCAAGCCCCACCGGCAAUGCUUCCUCCCACGCCAGCCUCCGAGGUCGGUCCCUCGCUUCGUCCGACCAUGCAGACUCACUCGCAUCCCAAGAACCACGAUAAUAUUCUAAUGGCGAAGCUCCCCCACUGAGAAUGCCAGCUCGCAUGAGGCCUGGCCCAUCGAGACAAACCGCCCAGUUGCCGUCACGGGAAACAAAGUAGAGAAGGAAAAGCAAGGGGACAAUGAAACCACUGGACUGAGGAUGAAACAGAGGCUAAGAUGUUCCAGCUUAAGGCCAGCGAGGUCAAGCAGGAGACUGUGAGGCUACAGGGAAUUGCACUUGCUAAAUCAGAGAAUGCUGAGCAGCACUAUGCCAGUAUGUAACCUGAAGCAUUUUCUUGAAGAAGCAGAAACUGAGAAGCAAUAUCUGCUUGAAAAGAUAGAGCUUCAGGAGAUCAGCAGUGGAAAAGUAAAAAUCCAGGAUUUAUUGAAGAAUGUGCUAAAUCAGAGAAUGCUAGGCAGCACUAUGCCAGUAUGUAACCUAAAGCAUUGUCUUGAGGAGUAUCUGCUUGAAAAGAUAGAGCUUCAGGAGAUCAGCAGUGGAAAAGUAAAAAAUCCAGGAUUUAUUGAAGAAUGUGCAUAGCAUUCGAUCAAAGGCAGCAGGGUAAAAGUAAAAAUGAGCUGCUGCUGACUGCCCAUAGAGAUUCCUGGUUCUAUUUUAUGUAGUAAUUUACAGCCAAGGAUUAGUAGUCCACAACCAAGGAGUGUUGAUAUUAUCAUCUGGAUGUUGCUUGAUGUAGUUCCAGUUGGUCUUUUGAACCAAUCUUCAUCUUUAUAUGAUUUGAUGCUUAUAAUUAAUUGUCUUUA
Long non-coding RNA from Musa acuminata AAA Group (dessert banana), 1049 nucleotides. RefSeq lists it as uncharacterized. The record is from RefSeq and is a predicted model, not a curated record. Lineage: Eukaryota; Viridiplantae; Streptophyta; Magnoliopsida; Zingiberales; Musaceae. The transcript is spliced from 2 exons.